Sorghum bicolor (sorghum) is the source of this 790-nucleotide long non-coding RNA. RefSeq lists it as uncharacterized. The transcript is spliced from 3 exons. The record is from RefSeq and is a predicted model, not a curated record. NCBI's taxonomy places the organism in Eukaryota, Viridiplantae, Streptophyta, Magnoliopsida, Poales, Poaceae.
UAAAGAAAUUAUACAACUUUUAUGCUACAUCAUCAAAGCAAACUAGUCAAGGGGCUGCACCUGCACCUAGAUAUAGUAACAUAGAUGUACUAAUGGGAAAUGUAGACCAUGGCUUAGAAGAAUUCUUAUAUCAAGCAAGUGAACCUGGAAUGGUUGAGGCAAAUGAGUUGGACAUGUAUAUGGUAGAACCACUAGUGAAACUUUAUGGUGAGUUUGACAUUUUAGCAUGGUGGAAAAACAAGAGAGAACAGUAUCCUAUUCUUUCACAAAUUGUUCGGGAUGUAAUGGCCAUGCAAGUGUCAACAGUUGCAUCCGAGUCUGCUUUUAGUGCUGCUGGCCGUGUUGUUGAUCCCUAUCGUAGUCGUCUUGAUUCUGAGAUGGUACAGGCUUUAAUUUGAACAAAGGAUUCGGUUGCUGCAGCAAGUAAAGAUUCUAAAAAGCUUGGAUCAAUUGUGAGUGAUCUUGAGGUUGAUGCUUUGACUAAUGUUGUGGCUAAGCUGAAAAUUGAGGAAAAUAACAAGGAGGGAGAUAAGGACAAUGAGGUGGACAAUGAGGAAGCAAAUGACAUGGAAAGUGAUCCCAUGGAUGAUGCCGAUGAUCACUAGAUGUUCAUGUCCUAUGAUCCUAUGUUUAUUAAUUAACUGCUUAUUCUAAACUUAUAUGAGCGUGUCGGCGACUAUAUGUUUCUGAACUGUUCUGAUACUUAAGACCCUAGGCCAUGCACUUGUUAUUUGUUAACUAUCAUGUGAUCAUGCACUUCUUAGUUUGGUCAUGCACAUUUUUUAAGUUA